Molecule: long non-coding RNA, 1856 nt
Filed under: Pan troglodytes (chimpanzee)
Lineage: Eukaryota; Metazoa; Chordata; Mammalia; Primates; Hominidae
Description: lncRNA (ENSPTRG00000054330.1)
Source: RNAcentral
ACUUUCUGCAUGAGGACAAGGACCUGGUCUGUUAGAGCAGGAGUCCUCAACCCCCAGGCCACAGACUGGUACCAGUCUGCAGCCUCUUAGGAACUGGGCCAUACAGCAGGAGCACAUGGGGAAGUAUCAACGUCAUCGUCAUCAUCAUCAUCAUCUUUCUACAGAGGAAACUGAGGCCCAGAGACGGUGAACUUCCUGCCCAAGCCUCAGACUUGCCCUAACCCUGGGGUCACAGUGGACCUCUUCCAGCCUCUUGAAUGCUAAGUCAGGAGGGGGAAGGGUGGGAGAGGGGAGGAGGAGGGGGAGAAGGAGGGGUGGGGGACUCCAUUCAAAUCCCGUCUUCCUCCUGUCGCAUACCUGCCAGAGAUAGACGAAGCAGACCACGAUCCAGACGAGAGGCAGCCACAGCCCGUUGAGGUAGAGGACGCUCUCGGUCAGCCGCUGCACGUCCACGGACACCAGGUUGACCACAUCACCCACCGCACUGGCCUUUCUGGAGCCACUGGACAGAGCCAGGACCUGGCGGGUGGGCAGAAGGAGAGAAGUAAAGUGGGGAGGCCGGGGCAGAGGGAUGCCCCAGGUGGCUUCUCCACCCAGUGAGCCCCACUUCACGCGUCUGCGAGGUGGGAAAAUACCACUUCCAGUUAAAUUAAGACAUAAACCGAGGCAGAGAGAAGUUGAGCAACUUGCCCAAAGUCACAGCCCUUGUAAGCGCCUACACAAGGAAUGGAAUCCAGGGUGACGAAGGCAUGACAAGGCCCUCCCUUUGUGACUGCGUGAGGGAGUGAAGAAGUGAUCCAGGAAUGACUGGACAUAGAAAUUCUCCACUUAGCAAGUCUUUGAAGAGUGCCCACUGUGUGACUCACACUGAGCUGGGAACUGAAAAUACAGCUGUGAACAACAGAGAUGAGGCUUGCUCUCCCGGGACUGGAGUUUGAGGUGGGGAACAAGGCUCUAUAAUAAAGAUUUAUAUAACUGGCUGGGCACAGUGGCUCACACCUGUAAUCCCAGCACUUUGGGAGGCUGAGGCGGAUGGAUUGCUUGAGGCCGGGAGUUCGAGAUCAGCCUGGCCAAUAUGGCAAAACCCCAUCUCUAGUAAAAAUACAAAAAUUAACUGGGCAUGCUGGUGGGCGCCUGUAAUCCCAGCUACUUGGGAGGGUGAGGCAGGACAAUUGCUUGAACCCAGGAGGCAGAGGUUGCAGUGAGCCAAGAUUGCACCACUGCACUACAGCCUGGGUGACAGAGUGAGACUCUGUCUCAAAAAAAUAAGACAAAACAAAAACAUUUCUAUAACUCAUGCUUUAAUGGCAGUUAUGAUGAGUAACAUACAAAAGUAGCCCAGGCUGAGCGCGUUGGCUCAUGUCUGUAAUCCCAGCACUUUGGGAGGCUGAGGUGGGUGGAUCACCUGAGGUCAGGAGUUCGAUACCAGCUUGGCCAACAUGGUGAAACCCUGUCUACUAAAAAUACAAAAUUAGCCGGGCAUGGUGGCGCACACCUGUAAUCCCAGCUACUCAGGAAGCUGAGACAGGAGAAUCACUUGAACCCAGGGGGCGGAGGUUGUAGUGAGCCGAGACUGUGCCACUGCACUCCAGCCUGGGCAACAAGAGGGAAACUCUGUCAGAAAAAAAAAAAAAAAAAGCCCAGAGGUUAGAGAGGGACGGAUCUGAUCUCAUCAGGAGAUCAAAGAAGGCCUCUGGCGGGUGGUGGGGAAUAGGAAGAUCAAUGCCGUGCUCACCAGGCUGCCUUCCUCUUAGGCUCAAGGAAAUGUGGACUCUCAAGACAGGAUAGGGCACACCCAGCUCUGGCAUGCUCAGGGGAACAGCAGCCCUGGGACGCAGCACUCUGGCAGGACAGCA